Molecule: ribosomal RNA, 336 nt
Filed under: Triticum aestivum (bread wheat)
Lineage: Eukaryota; Viridiplantae; Streptophyta; Magnoliopsida; Poales; Poaceae
Description: partial small subunit ribosomal RNA
Source: RNAcentral
AUGUACCCCCUCCGUUACUUCUUUCCGGUAGAACCCGAGACCGCACUAAUGCCACUGUGUACGACUACAUCGACGACGACCCCUCCUUGCCAGAGCAACCAGAUGCUGGAGCCCAGGAGCCCGACGCCAUCGUCGACGACGACUCCUACUACACCGGAGGUGCCUACUACUACGUGCAGGCCGCUGACGACGACCAGGAGUAGUUUAGGAGGAUCCCAGGCAGGAGGCCUGCGCCUCUUUCGAUCUGUAUCCCAGUUUGUGCUAGCCUUCUUAAGGCAAACUUGUUUAACUUAUGUCUAUACUCAGAUAUUGUUGCUUCCGCUGACUCGUCUAUGA